This 77-nucleotide transfer RNA is filed under the name Peptostreptococcus sp. RNAcentral's name for it is "tRNA-Met". It matches the Rfam family "tRNA". Rfam says of the family: Transfer RNA (tRNA) molecules are approximately 80 nucleotides in length. Their secondary structure includes four short double-helical elements and three loops (D, anti-codon, and T loops). RNAcentral also lists the same sequence under 1 other name. Lineage: Bacteria; Bacillati; Bacillota; Clostridia; Peptostreptococcales; Peptostreptococcaceae. The record is from RNAcentral.
GGCGGUAUAGCUUAGUUGGCUAGAGCGUCCGGUUCAUACCCGGAAGGUCACAGGUUCAAGUCCUGUUACCGCUACCA